GUGCCAGCAGCCGCGGUAAUACGUAGGGGGCGAGCGUUGUCCGGAAUCAUUGGGCGUAAAGAGCGUGUAGGCGGCCCGGUAAGUCUGCUGUGAAAACCCGGGGCUCAACCCCGGGCGUGCAGUGGAAACUGCCGGGCUAGAGGGCGGCAGAGGCGAGUGGAAUUCCCGGUGUAGCGGUGAAAUGCGCAGAUAUCGGGAGGAACACCAGUAGCGAAGGCGGCUCGCUGGGCCGUUCCUGACGCUGAGACGCGAAAGCUAGGGGAGCGAACAGGAUUAGAUACCCUGGUAGUCC
RNAcentral lists this ribosomal RNA (292 nucleotides) under uncultured microorganism. Its description in RNAcentral is "partial 16S ribosomal RNA". It matches the Rfam family "Bacterial small subunit ribosomal RNA", at positions 505 to 796 of the family's 1533-position model. The record is from RNAcentral.